AGAGUUUGAUCCUGGCUCAGAACGAACGCUGGCGGCAGGCUUAACACAUGCAAGUCGAGCGCAUCCUUCGGGGUGAGCGGCAGACGGGUGAGUAACGCGUGGGAACGUACCCUUUGCUACGGAAUAGCUCCGGGAAACUGGAAUUAAUACCGUAUGAGCCCUUCGGGGGAAAGAUUUAUCGGCAAAGGAUCGGCCCGCGUUGGAUUAGCUAGUUGGUGGGGUAAAGGCCUACCAAGGCGACGAUCCAUAGCUGGUCUGAGAGGAUGAUCAGCCACAUUGGGACUGAGACACGGCCCAAACUCCUACGGGAGGCAGCAGUGGGGAAUAUUGGACAAUGGGCGCAAGCCUGAUCCAGCCAUGCCGCGUGAGUGAUGAAGGCCUUAGGGUUGUAAAGCUCUUUCAGUAGGGAAGAUAAUGACGGUACCUACAGAAGAAGCCCCGGCUAACUUCGUGCCAGCAGCCGCGGUAAUACGAAGGGGGCUAGCGUUGUUCGGAAUUACUGGGCGUAAAGCGCACGUAGGCGGACAUUUAAGUCAGGGGUGAAAUCCCGGGGCUCAACCUCGGAACUGCCUUUGAUACUGGGUGUCUUGAGUGUGGAAGAGGUCAGUGGAAUUGCGAGUGUAGAGGUGAAAUUCGUAGAUAUUCGCAGGAACACCAGUGGCGAAGGCGGCUGACUGGUCCACAACUGACGCUGAGGUGCGAAAGCGUGGGGAGCAACAGGAUUAGAUACCCUGGUAGUCCACGCCGUAAACGAUGAAUGUUAGCCGUCGGGCAGUUUACUGUUCGGUGGCGCCGCUAACGCAUUAAACAUUCCGCCUGGGGAGUACGGUCGCAAGAUUA
This 840-nucleotide ribosomal RNA is filed under the name Affinirhizobium pseudoryzae. RNAcentral's name for it is "bacterial SSU rRNA". It matches the Rfam family "Bacterial small subunit ribosomal RNA", at positions 8 to 896 of the family's 1533-position model. Lineage: Bacteria; Pseudomonadati; Pseudomonadota; Alphaproteobacteria; Hyphomicrobiales; Rhizobiaceae. The record is from RNAcentral.